UUUUCGUUUUUCCGUGUCCAACAUUUGAUCAUUUGUCUUAUUUAAAAUUUAAUGCGAUUAAUAUUUUUAUUAUUACUAAAUUAUACUUUAUACAUGACUAAUUUUUUUUAAGUUUUUUAUAAAUUUUUUAAUAAGACGAAUGGUCAGACGUUGGAUAUGGAAAA
This 164-nucleotide microRNA precursor is filed under the name Oryza brachyantha (malo sina). RNAcentral's name for it is "MIR812 microRNA precursor family". It matches the Rfam family "MIR812 microRNA precursor family", at positions 19 to 188 of the family's 205-position model. Lineage: Eukaryota; Viridiplantae; Streptophyta; Magnoliopsida; Poales; Poaceae. The record is from Rfam by way of RNAcentral.